UUCCUUUUCUUCUACCGCAAUUCGCCGCUGUUGCUGAGAUUCUUACGGCCGUUUCUCUACACCGUUUUCUCCUCCAAUUGAUUCUUGCUUUAUCUCUCUCUCUCUCUCUCGCCCUCUCCCUCACAUGCAAUUUUCAGCCUAAUUUUUUUUUCCCCUGUAAUUCCUUUCUCCUUCCCCUGUAAUUCCUUUCUCCUUCCCCUGUAAUUCCUUUCUCCUUCUUCCGAAUCUUAGUGACGUUUUCCCGCGUCACCCUCUAUGUUUUCCUUCUGCUUUCUAUUCGUGGUUGCAGGAAAAGAAAAACCUUCCAUGGCCGCCGCGUGUAAUUGCAUCUAUGUACGAAGAAACUUUUUUAUUCCACUAUAUUUAGCAUUUUAAUUCGGUUCAUAUUUUUCCUAUUUUUUCGGUCAAUAUUGAUUCGGUGGAUCUGACGAUGCUCUUGCAGCCCCUUGUAAUAUUUUUUUUUAUGGGCUCCUAUCGGAAUUUGCUUCUCCUGAUUAAGGAUUGUUUGAUAUUUGCUCAAUAAAAUGUAAUUUCCUUUUUAAGAGCACAACAAUCACAUUUUACACUGUAUGAUUACUUUUAUGAUGAGAAGCAAGUAUAUCUGAUUCUAGAAUAUGCUGGCAAGAGAGAACUCUACAAAGAGCUUCGGUUUGUAACUUCACUUUCGCGAAUGGUCUGGCAAGUUCCCAAGGGGAAUAUUUCCUUGAUUUUAUACGGAAACAACUUUGAUGAUUUCCAAUGAUGGUAGCAACUGAUUAUGGAGCAUUGACAAUUUGAGGCGUAUAUUUCAAUCCUUUGAAUUUUAUUUUUUUCCUAUCUAGAAACUUAAAUCUUUUGUCUCAAUUCUUUUCAGACCUGAUGAUUCGUCCAUUGGCUUUGGUGCCCUUGUUCGGGCAAAUAUAAGAAUAGUCGGAGAUGUUACAAGUGCUACUGUAACAUCAUCGUUGCUAGAAACUAUAAGCUUCAAUACAUUCUGCUAAACAUUAUAUUUAGAAACAUGACUACAUGCAAUAAAUAUUUUGUGUUAUGUAUUACGCUGGAAAAGAGUUUGCAUAUGUAGUUGCAUUUUGUAAGAUUUGAAGAAGAGCAGUACAAAAGAACAAAUUUCUUAUCUACAGUCUACAGUUCUUGAAGCUCAUGUUGAAUAUGUGGUUUCUCUAAAUUUUGUUUCUACGGACUAUAAAGGAAUAAGAUCUUCACCGUUGCUUGCUGCCGUUUUCCAUUUUUUUCUUUGUUUUAUCUGCAAUGUAGUGAUUUUAUUGUUGUAUGGUUAAAUAGAUCGGGCACCGGCGCCGCGCCUUGCGCGGAGCCCCACCCCU
Molecule: non-coding RNA, 1319 nt
Organism: Erythranthe guttata (spotted monkey flower)
Lineage: Eukaryota; Viridiplantae; Streptophyta; Magnoliopsida; Lamiales; Phrymaceae
Source: RefSeq, a predicted model, not a curated record